GGUAACUGGAGAAUGGGGUGGGGGUAUGCCAGCUCUCCCUGCUUGCCCUGGUCCCACACACUCAGGCCUGUGUGGCCAGCGUGGUCCUCCUUUCCCACAGCCAAGGUGCCCCGACUGCCAGCGUCCACUCCCCGUGGGGCCGCAGGGUACACCAACAUCUGAGGCAGAGGCACCGCUGUGGGCUCAUCUCUCAGCUCAAAGGGUUUCCAAGAGAAUCCUCAGCAAAAAAGCAACACUCGCCGUUCAGAGAGUGAAUGAGAGGCCAGCAGGGGGCUGGGAAGGUGCUUAGCUCAGGGAGGGCUGGAGGGUGGGACUAGGAGGCACUAAAGGCCUGGGGGCUCAGAGAAAGGCCCAGCCCAUCCCAGCAGAGGCCGACCAGGACUCCAGAGCCCGUGGAGGCCCUGCCAUGCACGGGAAGCCUUUCCCGACUUGGGGGCAGGAGCUGGAGGGCUGGGAUGAUCCUAAGGGGAUGCUCGGCCAUAAGCCACAUGCCAAGUCCAGAGCCCAACAGCUGCUGUACCUCCUGGGCUGUUUCCACGGAUGAGGCUUCUCUGAAUGUAAGUUUGUCUGCUCAGCCACACCGGCCUCCUCCUGGCACAUCGUCUCUCACAGGCACCUCCUUCCAUGGAGACUGGGGGCCUCAGACGGCUCUUCCCGACAGGGCCCUGCACUUGGGCAGAUGCACCUGUGGCUUGAGCUCAGCACAGCACAUAGUGGCUGGCAAGGAACGGAAGGAGAAUUGGAGAAAUGUAUCUAAAAUGUCAAGCAGACCUCUGCUACACUCACUGGGAAGAACCAUGUUGCUUCUGACGAAUUUCUUAAAAAGAGAGAAAGAUGCCAAUGAGAAAACCAGAGGGGACAAAUGCUACCCGGGAAUGUAAAACAGUUGCCAUCAGAGACUGGCUGGCUCACAUUGUGUCCACCAAUCCACCCACCACGGCGAGUGAUGUCCGUACAGCUCACACCGCAUCCAUCAAUCCACCCACCACGGCGAGUGAUGUCCGUACAGCUCACACCGCGUCCAUCAGUCCACCCACCAUGGCGAGUGAUGUCCGUACAGCUCACACCGCGUCCAUCAGUCCACCCACCAUGGCGAGUGAUGUCCGUACAGCUCACACCGCGUCCAUCAGUCCACCCACCAUGGCGAGUGAUGUCCGUACAGCUCACACCGCGUCCAUCAGUCCACCCACCAUGGCGAGUGAUGUCCGUACAGCUCACACCGCGUCCAUCAGUCCACCCACCAUGGCGAGUGAUGUCCGUACAGCUCACACCGCGUCCAUCAGUCCACCCACCAUGGCGAGUGAUGUCCGUACAGCUCACACCGCGUCCAUCAGUCCACCCACCAUGGCGAGUGAUGUCCGUACAGCUCACACCGCGUCCAUCAGUCCACCCACCAUGGCGAGUGAUGUCCGUAUAGCUCACACCGCAUCCAUCAAUCCACCCACCACAGCAAGUGUCUGCGAUGUCUGUAGUGUCUGCGAUGUCUGUAGUAUCUGCAAUGUCCAUGCAGCUCUCACCAUGUCCAUCAAUCCACCCCACCACGGUGAGCGUCUGCGAUGUCCGUGCAGGGGAGAGAGACCUGGCCUAUCCUCAGCACAGCCCAUGUGACGUUAGAAAGGCAACCGCAAAUUCAGCUGCGGAGUGCAAAACGAAUUUCCUCCUGUCACACGCUAACUUUCUGUUCUGGAUUUCCUGGGGUUUCCUUUAUUAGACUUGAGUCCAGAACUCCUCUAGAAACAUUCUCUGGGAUAUCUUGACCUGGCACGCAGAGGGGUGAAGGAACGGGGACACGGAUGGAUGGAGGGAGAUGAACUAAUCAGCAAAUGCUCCUUGCACAUUUCCUAGCUCUGUCAGCCAAAGUGAGGUCUGACCACAAAAGCUACCCAUUCACUUGCUAAAUGGUGCAAAAUGGGCCCAGACCCUCAUUUUACCUUUACUUAAAUAACAGCAUAUUCUCGUCUGGUCUUUAAACCACACAGGCCAAAAUGAGUUGAGCACUAUCACAUAUUUAAUUGACUCGUAAAAGCAACUUGUUUUUCUUCAUCCUUCGCCGACCUUUGUUUAUGGGUAACCCUUGAUAACAUGUGGGCAGGGUUUCAGUGUAAACCCGAGGGCAGGUUAAACACGCUCCCUCCAAAGCUUACUUGGCUUUGAUUUUUCAACCACCCGCCCUCAUGUGCAGGGACAGGGCAGAGUCGUGACCAACAGUGGAAAGACCCAUAGCUCCCAGCUCCAGGGACGACGCGGGGGUGCUAAGCUGGUAAGCUGGGAAAUUCCCGGGCACGACCCCUGGCCGUGGGUGAAAGCACCCCCAGCCCCACCCCCAGCUGUGAGAUGCUGCAGGUUCCCCAGCCCCACCCCCAGCUGUGAGAUGCUGCAGGUUCCCCAGCCCCACCCCCAGCUGUGAGAUGCUGCAGGUUCCCCAGCCCCACCCCCAGCUGUGAGAUGCUGCAGGUCCCGGCAGGAGAAGGCUUCUCCACAGAGAGGCCGCUGAACAAGGCACAGGGCCAGGUCUGGCCGUGUAAAAAUACUUGGAACCCAUGGGGGGCUUUGUGUGUGGUGUCAUCGGCAGCUUCCAUUAUGUCCAGCGGUAACAUGUUUACGGUCCCUGUGCCGCCGUGCGGUAGCAGUUUUCCCGAGUGUCUCCUGGCUGGGACGGCUGGUGAGGAUGUGAGUUCAAUAGAUGAACACCCCACCUUGGUGACACAGAGGCUGGACAGUCACACCGACCCUUGGCCCGGGCGAGGCCACGUGUCCCACAAAACAUAAGGCUUGGGUUAGUGUCGGGCACGCGGGGGAGGUGCCUGCCUGCGUGAAGACUGGUCACAAGACAACUUCCCAGUUUAGAAAAUGGUUAACUGAUUCAUUAAUACUCACUUCCUGUCGCAAGAGACUCAUGCCCUAGAGAUAAAGCCGUCGGAGGCAGAGUGCAGGCCUCGAAGCAGCUGGUCAUGUCCACGCCCUCUGCAGGCCUCGUGUCCCCCUCGCUGUCGCCUGCCGAUUUGGUGGCUCCUCUCAUAACACACAGCCUCCUGUGUAUGUUUUUACCCUACAAACGCUCUCUAACCGGUCCAGAGGUCAGAAACAGCCGCAGUCUCCUACCUCUAUUGCUUCUCAAGGGAAAAGCACAGCCUGGAAUGAUGAGGAGCCCCCACGCCUUCUCAGUCUCCUGUAACGACGUUGCUACAGAUGCUUAAAGAAGAAACCCAAACGCUCUGUGAAUGGGACAUGUGCUCAGAGGCGUCUGCAGUUGAGGCGGGUGACGUUCUGGGGUCCCUGGGAAGUUGUCAUCACCCUGCUGACAUGAGUGUGGAUGUUGAGGCCUGGAGGGUGACAGGUCACACAGCCAGAGCCUGGCAGCAGCGCAGGGGCGGAACCCCGGGUCCCCUGUGGGCCUGUGCCCUCUCGGCCAGCCUUGCAACGCGCAGCUAACGCUCUUCAAGAAAACAUUCUCUGGAGGAAUCCUGCUGGUCCUGAAGUUUUUGGCCUUGAGAAGGUCAUCACAGACACCCCUCCCCUCGGGCCAGGCCUGCUGUCUUGUCUAAGGGGCCCUAUUUUAUCUGAGGUGAUUUGCAACUCUGAAACACACAUACAUAAAAUAGAAAUACCGUCCUCACUAUUAACCUAGAGACCCCCAUCCCUACCCCUCCCUAUGAAUGCUUUUUCAUAAACAUGCCGCAUUCUGAGGAAUCCGAAAGACUCCAGCGUAGGACAGACCGCUGUUCCAAGCCACUGGGAAAGGGGAAACUGGUGACUGAGCGGCGCCCGUCAGAGCCAUUAAAACGUGAGGGAAAACUGCACCUUACGGCACACGAACCCUUAGAAGAGGCAAAACACUACUGAGUUAAUGCUUAAUUUAUUUGUAAUGAUAAAAGUUUUUAUCACUUUAAAUAAAGUUAUUUGAAAAAAGUUA
Homo sapiens (human) is the source of this 3913-nucleotide long non-coding RNA. RefSeq lists it as uncharacterized. NCBI's taxonomy places the organism in Eukaryota, Metazoa, Chordata, Mammalia, Primates, Hominidae. The transcript has 2 exons. The record is from RefSeq and is a predicted model, not a curated record.